Hypomesus transpacificus is the source of this 621-nucleotide long non-coding RNA. RefSeq lists it as uncharacterized. NCBI's taxonomy places the organism in Eukaryota, Metazoa, Chordata, Actinopteri, Osmeriformes, Osmeridae. The transcript has 4 exons. The record is from RefSeq and is a predicted model, not a curated record.
AGAUCUUCUUGAUCACGGCCCUCAGUUCCUCGUUCGCCUGGUCCAGGUUGCCUGGUAAACAAAUGCACUUAGCGGAUCCCCAAGAUUGGCUGGCACCACCCUAAAGCUUGCGGCAGCUGCAGUUACAAGGGCGCCACCCUGUGGUCGAGCGUGGAGCGACGCCACCAUGUCAAACACUGCUUGUUUUUCGUGUCUGACCUUUGAGAACCGUGGCGAGAGUGGGCGGUGCGUACGAGGGCAAAGAGCGUGGCGUUGAACAUGACCGUCCCGUCGCUGUUCAAUGGCAUGUUCAUAGCAACCAGUCUCUAUGGAGGAGAGGGAGGGGGGUGAUUACAUUCCACGCAUGUACAAGGACUGAAUUACUCCUCCACUAUAUUUGGCGAUGGGGACUAUUCAUCGUGUGUUUUCAUUGACAGUAAAUGCAAAGUGCCCAGAGUGGAGAAGCUGUAUGUUACUACGGCCACCCUGUGAGGACAGAGCUUGCCGAAGCCCAGAGGAGGCUGGAUUCUCCUCAGCAGAGUCACCACGUCUAGGUGUUUGAUCCUGCCCCUGAAUCACACACACACACACACUGAAACCUGCACAAACACACUGAUCUUUACGUGUGUGUGUGUGUGUGGA